ACUUUUUUUUUUUUUUUUUUUUUUUGGCAUAUGGAGGUUCCCAGACUAGGGGUUGAAUCUGAGCUGCAGCUGCCAGCCUACACCACAGCCACAGCAAUGCGGGAUCCAAGCCGCAUCUGUGACCUACACCACAGUUCACAGCAAUGCCAGAUCCAUAACCCACUGAUCGAGGCCAGGGAUGGAACCCGCUUCCUCACGGAUAUUAGUGGGAUUCGUUUCCACUGUGCCACAACAGGAACCCCUUAACUUUAACCAUUUAACCAGCAAGCUAUUUCUUUUGUUGGUUCUUGUGGGCAUAUAAAUAAGCCUUUUUUUCUGUUCAUCUUUUCUCAAUUUAAUUCACAGGCUCCAGUCACUGCACCUAACAGGGGAAAGGGAAACGUUUAUCUUGCCCCCAAAAGUAUCACCUCAGGGCAAAACAUUCUGGAAUUCCUGGACUGUGUUGAUUUGGAAAUGGGCAGGGGGAUGGAAUUGGAAGGACAUCCGGGACGUACUAUCAUGACAGAUUCAGACCCACCUAUAAAACUGGGGGCAGUCCCAUUCUCAGAGACAAAUUUGAGAAGAGCCCAGGAUCCUGUUCUCCUGGUAAUGCAGCUGUUCACCCCUCCUUUUUAAUUCCUUUCCUUUUUCCUUGGUAGAUGAUACUGAUCCAAAAGUUGGACACUAAAACGUUCAAAAUUUGAACUCUGCACGUGUUUUCCCCUUAGGUACUUAUUCUCCAGAUGUGUGUGCUGCAGCAUGAAUACCCUAUGCUCAAUUUCAAAAUAAAAGUAAUUUCACCCUUUUCCCCUCUCCUUCCCACACAGAGAUUUUUCUGGUAUUUAAAGUGCAGCUAACAACUUUUCCCUCUCUUGGAAUUUUCAGUGGCAUCUGCAUGAAAAUUAAGAAAUACUUUGGGAAAGUAAUUUAAUUUUGCAAAUGCAAAGCUAAUCUCCGCUCAUCAUCAAGGCAAUAAAACAUAAGAGAUGUCUAUAUGGGGAAAUCUCAAUUUUAAAAACCUUACAGAAGUGAAUUACAAUGAAGUAAACAAUCUUAGGAGACUUGAAGGAGCAGCCCAACCACGGGUUCAUCCAGCCUGGAAUUCCGAGGCCCUGGUCCAGCUCACCAGGCUACUGGCAGGGACGGUGGCAACUUUUUCUGCUUUGUUCCCCUUCCAAGAUUUCUGGCUUCUGGCGGAAGACAGAAAGCUUCACGUUGAGAAAAAUCAAACCGGAACAAGAGAGAACACUUAUGUGUGGCGUUUACACACUUUCAUCCUUCAGAAGAUGGUUCCAUUCCCAACCUUUUUUAAAGAACUCCGCACCAUCUGGCUUUCACAAGCAGAGCUUCAUCCACUCCCACUUGCUUCAAUGAGGAAAAACCCUGCUCUCCCAGGGUUUAGCAAACGGACUGACUUUGGAGUGCAGAUAGAGCUGAAGCAGAUUUUCUGCAUUAUUUGGCAACGUUUCUUUGCAAAAUUAAUUUCACAGAUGCAUAGUCCCCUAUGUGGACUGUAAGUAUUUGGGAAGAAUUUUUUUUUUCUCUUUUCUAUCCUAGUACUAAGAAUCUCAACAGCACCCUAGUAUUAACAGGUUAAGACUCAGUAGUCAAACAAGAAAAAUGAUGAGCCUUAGUGGCGCUUAUCAGACACAUUAGGUUGACUUUUAUCAACUAAGAAUCACUUCCCUGGAGUUCCCACUGUGGCACAGGGGUAAGGAACCCGAUUAGCAGCCAUGAGGACUCGGGAUGGAUCCCCAUCCCUGGCCUUGCUCAGUGGGUUAAGGAUCCAGUGUUGUUGUGGGCUGCAGCUGUGAGCUAUGGUGUAGUUCUCAGAUGCAGCUCGCACUUGGUGGGCUGCAGCUGUGAGCCGUAGGCCAGCAGCUGUAGCUCCAAUUCAGCCUCUAGCCUGGGAGCUUCCCUGUACCACAUGCGCAGCCCUAAAAAGAAAAAAAAAAAAAAGAAAGAAAAAAAAAGAAUCUCUUCACAGAUUCACUGAUAAUCUCGCUAUUGCAAUAGCUUUUUAACUAUUUCUUUUUAUUCAAUAAAUAAAUGAUGCAAGAGACAUUUUUAAUGAGUUAGCUUUAGAGCUAAGGGGUGAAAAGCAUAUUCUUAUACUUCUGGCACUUUAUUUUCAUUAAUAAUCAGUUGAAAUGAUACUUUGAAAAAAGACUCUUGUCUCCUCUUCAGGGUGUCCAUGGUGGUUCAAAACCAUACUCAACAUGCAACCCUCCCAAUAAUACUUUUCUAACCCUGUCGUGAAUGGGAGAUUAAACUUGCCAUCUGCCUCUGCCAGGACUGCAUCAUGAGCCACUGAAGCUGCCAACCUGCCACACCCAUGAAGGGAGGCACUGUGUGCUCUGGGAAAACUGGCAGAACAGGUCUUCUGAUAGAUAUUUUCAGGAGAAGUUUUUAUGAGCCCAAUUCUUGCAUCUCCUUGUAUCUAGGAAAGUACUAAAAUCCUUCAUGGUGAUGUCUUCUCAUGACCAGCAGGAACCUUCAUGAGACCAGCAGCGCCCUUCUGCAAAAUGUGUGCUUGAUUGGAACCUUCACAAGAUCAGCAGCGACCGUCUGCAAAAUGUGUGCUUGAUUGCAUGUGCCUCCCUGGCUUCAGCAAAAUCACAUCUACACUGACCUGCCCCCUACUCUCUGGAGCAUUUUUUUCUGAAAUGUUGCCUCCCGCGCUAGAGUCCUCAUUUUGCCCCAAAUAAAACGUCACUCUCAACUUAGGUUGUGCAUAUUUUGAAGUCGACAUCGGAAACCUUAGGCUCUCCUUCAUUCUCCUUUCUAUUCAAUCUACAUUUUAAAAACUAACUAAACGGUCAAGACGUAUAUAGUUUUUUAAAGUUAGAUUAUUUUCAGUGAACUGAUUCCUGGGCUGUGCCUCAUGGAUCAGGAUUCUGUUUAAAUACUGAGCCCUGUGGCCUCAAAUUAAACAAAUUCCUGUCUUCUUCCAGUUUUAUGUCUUCUUUCUACUUGGACUUUCUUCUUCCUAUUUGCACUAUGCCCACCACAUCCCUUCUCUCCCUGACGCCAACAUCUUCAUGUUGUUCAAAGUCUUGUUUAAUCACCUAUAAUUCUCUCAAAGCCUAGAUUUUCAAAAACAAAUGGUAAUCAUUUUCUUCUUUCCUGACAUCCAAAACUAACGUUACCCCCAAAGUAAUUAUAGACCUGGGUCAUACAACUUGACAUUAUUUUUGAAAUUGAUUUCAGGAUUGAUGCUGUCCUCAAAGCCCAUGAUGUUAACUAUUUUAGAAUGUAGCUUAAUUCUCUUAUAUCUUUUAUAAACUCAAAAAUGUAUGAUAUACUCAGUACAAUAAACCAGUGAUGGUGUUAUUAUGUCUUCCCACCAGCCAACCCUUUUUAGGACGACAUGUCAGGUUUCUCCCCACCCAUAUCAUGCAAUAAGAGAUGUCAUUUUAAGUGCCAUAUACAUAAGAGCAACGUUAUAUCCUUAAAAAAGGCAAAAACUGAAAGUUUACAGAAAGAAACAAACAAACCUAUAAUGUUAUGAGAUUCUAAUAUAGUUCUUUCAGAAGCUUUUGAGAUAUAAAGAUAAAAAUAAGAACAAUAGCAUUUGGAUAAUAUCAUUUAAAAUGUGGGACUUUGGGAGUUCCCGUCAUGGCGCAGUGGUUCCGACUAGGAACCAUGAGUUGUGGGUUUGAUCCCAGACCUUGCUCAGUGGGUUAAGGAUCCAGCGUUGCCGUGAGCUGUGGUGUAGGUUGCAGACAAGUGNGACCCGUGUUGCUGUGGCUGUGGCGUAGGCUGGUGACUACAGCUCCAAUUAGACCCCUAGGCUGGGAACCUCCACAUGCUGUGGGAGGCGGCCCUAGAAAAAGGCAAAAAGACAAAAAAAAAAAAGAAAAAAAGUGGGAUUUUAUAGCUCAUGAAUAGUACAUGCACUUGU
Molecule: long non-coding RNA, 3883 nt
Filed under: Sus scrofa (pig)
Lineage: Eukaryota; Metazoa; Chordata; Mammalia; Artiodactyla; Suidae
Description: lncRNA (ENSSSCG00015020371.1)
Source: RNAcentral